AUACGUAGGGGGCGAGCGUUGUCCGGAAUUACUGGGCGUAAAGGAUGCGUAGGUGGAUAUUUAAGUGGGAUGUGAAAUCCCCGGGCUCAACCCGGGAACUGCAUUCCAAACUGGGUAUCUAGAGUGCAGGAGAGGAAAGCGGAAUUCCUAGUGUAGCGGUGAAAUGCGUAGAUAUUAGGAGGAACACCAGUGGCGAAGGCGGCUUUCUGGACUGUAACUGACACUGAGGCAUGAAAGCGUGGGUAGCAAACAGGAUUAGAUACCCUGGUAGUCCACACUGUAAACGAUGGAUACUAGGUGUAGGGGGUAUCGACUCCCUCUGUGCCGCAGUUAACACAAUAAGUAUUCCGCCUGGG
This 356-nucleotide ribosomal RNA is filed under the name uncultured bacterium. Its description in RNAcentral is "partial 16S ribosomal RNA". It matches the Rfam family "Bacterial small subunit ribosomal RNA", at positions 523 to 877 of the family's 1533-position model. The record is from RNAcentral.